UACGGAGGAUGCGAGCGUUAUCCGGAAUCAUUGGGUUUAAAGGGUCCGUAGGCGGGCUAAUAAGUCAGGGGUGAAAUCGUUCAGCUCAACUGAGCAACUGCCUUUGAAACUGUUAGUCUUGAAUAGUUGUGAAGUAGUUGGAAUGUGUAGUGUAGCGGUGAAAUGCUUAGAGAUUACACAGAACACCGAUAGCGAAGGCAUAUUACUAACAAUUGAUUGACGCUGAUGGACGAAAGCGUGGGGAGCGAACAGGAUUAGAAACCCUUGUAGUCC
Molecule: ribosomal RNA, 273 nt
Filed under: uncultured Capnocytophaga sp.
Lineage: Bacteria; Pseudomonadati; Bacteroidota; Flavobacteriia; Flavobacteriales; Flavobacteriaceae
Description: partial 16S ribosomal RNA
Rfam family: Bacterial small subunit ribosomal RNA
Source: RNAcentral